GCACUGGUAAGUCAGUGGUAGAAUUCUUGCCUUCCCGUGGGAGACCUGGGUUUGAUUCCUGGUCAGUGCA
Molecule: transfer RNA, 70 nt
Filed under: Loxodonta africana (African savanna elephant)
Lineage: Eukaryota; Metazoa; Chordata; Mammalia; Proboscidea; Elephantidae
Rfam family: tRNA
About the family: Transfer RNA (tRNA) molecules are approximately 80 nucleotides in length. Their secondary structure includes four short double-helical elements and three loops (D, anti-codon, and T loops). Further hydrogen bonds mediate the characteristic L-shaped molecular structure. tRNAs have two regions of fundamental functional importance: the anti-codon, which is responsible for specific mRNA codon recognition, and the 3' end, to which the tRNAs corresponding amino acid is attached (by aminoacyl-tRNA synthetases). tRNAs cope with the degeneracy of the genetic code in two manners: having more than one tRNA (with a specific anti-codon) for a particular amino acid; and 'wobble' base-pairing, i.e. permitting non-standard base-pairing at the 3rd anti-codon position.
Source: Rfam by way of RNAcentral